This 482-nucleotide ribosomal RNA is filed under the name uncultured bacterium. RNAcentral describes it as "partial 16S ribosomal RNA". It matches the Rfam family "Bacterial small subunit ribosomal RNA", at positions 28 to 507 of the family's 1533-position model. The record is from RNAcentral.
GAUGAACGCUCGCGGCAGGCCUAAUACAUGCAAGUCGAACGAGAUUAAGAGGCUUGCUUCUUAUGAAAGUGGCGCACGGGUGCGUAACGCGUAUGCAACCUACCUUAAUCAGGGGGAUAGCCCGAAGAAAUUCGGAUUAAGACCGCAUAAAAACACAGGAUAGCAUUAUCCAAUGUUCAAAUAUUUAUAGGAUUAAGAUGGGCAUGCGUGUCAUUGGCUAGUUGGCGGGGUAACGGCCCACCAAGGCGACGAUGACUAGGGGAUCUGAGAGGAUGACCCCCCACACUGGUACCGCGACACGGACCAGAAUCCUACGGGGGGCAGCAGUAAGGAAUAUUGGUCAAUGGAGCGAACUCUGAACCCGCCAUGCCGCGUGCAGGAAGACAGCCCUCUGGGUCGUAAACUGCUUUUAUUCGGGAAUAAACCUUUCUACGUGUAGGAAGCUGAAUGUACCGAAGGAAUAAGGAUCGGCUAACUCCGUG